UCCUGACGAGCUUUCUUCAUUCUGGGAUAAUCAUAUUUUAACAAUCUUUCCCUUUAACACAAAAGAACAAUAGGAAGGUUUAGAGAAAAAUGGGAAAAUAUUUAGGGUAGGAGAAAAAGUUAUGUUACAUAUUCUACUCCAAAAUUCUUUUACUAAUAAACCUCAUGAUGUAACCUGGGGUAUCAGUGUGUAAAAUAAAUGGUAUUUGAUAGUGUGGUUAUGUAACUAAAAGCUGGUUUGCGAUGUAGUGCACAGAACUAACCCCCACCCUCACCCCAGGCUGCCAAGAUGGUAGAGGAAAUAGUGAACAAGAGAUGACAGAAUUCACGCAGAACAAGCAGAACACUAGAUGAGCUUGGGAGGGCUGCUUAUCUGAGACUAGAAUUUCAAGAUAGUUGAAGUUUUAGAAACAUAUUAGAAAAGAUACUGAUUUCAAACUCAAAUCAUUUUAUAUUGAAUAUCAUAGUAGCUGUGAGUGAGGGUAGGGGGUUGGGCAAAUUGUAAGAAUUAGCUCUGAAGUCAUGUCCAUUGGACGUCUCCCAAUUCUGAAAUGUCCCAUGAGUACCUCAAACUCAGCAUGUUCCAAACUAAGCAUAUCUACUCCCCUUCAUCACCCCUAGACUUGCUCCUUCUCCUGUAUCCUUAUUUUUGGGAAUGCCAUCCUUGGUCAGUUACCUAAGACAGUUGUACCUUCUCUUUUACCCUCCAGUGGAUUCUAGGUCCUGCUGAUGGAAUCUAUAUAUCUACAGAUCUAUCUCCUAUGUCUGUCCCUUUUCCUUUGUCCACACUGUCACUCUCUUCCUCAGGUCAGCAUCAUCUCUCACUUGGAUGACCCCACCCACAACCUAAGUGGUCUCCUUGGUUAUGGUACUUCCCAAAUCAAAUACAUUUGUGGACUGCAGCCAGACUGUUCCUUCCAAAACACAGAGCUGCUUUGUCAUUCAUCUGCUGAACACCCUUCUUGCACCUCCUAAGGUAAAAAGCUAAACCACUUUAACAUGGCUUAUUAGACCUCUCAGAAGCUGCCACUUUAUUCCUUGCCCCCUCCUAGCUUAGGGUAAACUACACUGGACCAUUCUGGUUUGUUAAAUGGGCCAUUUUCUCUCCUCAAGGUCUUCACCCAUAUUGUUUCCUUGCCUAGGACACUCCUAGCCUUGUUUCUCUUACCCCGGGGUCUAGUUCCUAUGCAUUCUUCAGAUGCAGUGUAUUCAUCACUUCUUCCCAGAGGCCUCCUUGGAUUCCCAAGUCUUGUUAAGACAUGCCUGCUAUGUGCUUCUUCCAACAGUAAUCUCUACCUCUCCUGUCAUCUUACAUAGUAUAUUGUGUUAUAACUGUUCAAUUAAAUGUCCAUUUCUCUAAUUAGACAGUCGGGUCUUUGAAGGCAGACACCAUGUCUGUGUUGAUCAUCAAUGAAUCACCAGUGCCGAGGAGAGGGCCUGGGACAUGGAAGAUAACCAACAUAUAUGUAUUACACAGAAUGAAAGAAAUUAUGAAUUUUUCACAUUACCCCUCAGCAUCCCUCACAACUGAUGGGUCACUUUGUUUCUCUUCAUGCUUAUGCAAUUUGUUUAGGGCUUUUAAUCCAUUCCUGACCAAGUCCUUCAGCGGCUGCUUUUUGCCUUCAGGAUAACGUUUACUGUUUAAUCUUGGCAUGAAACAGAAGGCUCAGUACUUUCCCAGCUGCAUUUCCAGAACCUUCUUUAAAUGAAAUCUAUGCUUAGGUUUCCUCAAGGUCACCUUAGUUCUCAGUCCUUAGUACCUCUGCACCAUUUCCCUCUUUCUACCUGUAACACCCACUGGUUAUUUACUAAUUGCUCUUCAUGACUCAGCCCAAGGUCAUGUCUCCUUGGAAGCCCAGUCUACCAAGCUUUCCUUCUCUUUCUGGUAACAGAAUUGGUAUCGGUUUUCUGAGUGUCAUUGUACCCUAUCCAUUUUUCUCCAUAGUGUCUGAAUUUUGGCUUUCUUCUAAGAUCAUACAUUCAUGAAAAGCAAGGAGAAGAAUCUUAUUUAUCUCCAUAUUCACCUAAUUUAACAUAGUACAUGACACAAAAGGGCGCUUGAUAAAUAUUCUUUGAAUAAGUACUUUCCUUUUAAAUGAAUCCAUCUUUAAAAUACAGGCAAUGACAACCAAAAGAAGCAAAAGGAAUAAACAGAUAUCUUUAAUUUUUUUAGGCCAAACUUGCAUAACGUGCUCAGAUAAUACUUAUGAGGAUCUACACGGACACCUCCUGGCAGGAUGACCACUUAAACUCAGACCCAGGGAGCAAGGAAGGGACAUUGCCUUCACCUUUACCUGUUCAACAUUUUUUUUUCAUCUGGUUUCAACUGUACUUUAAGAAUAUUGCUUCCAGAAUAUAAGCCUUCAAGUCAUCCAUGUUCAUAAAGUAUUCCCCCCAGUCUGCCUGAGUCUAGGCAGGAUUCUCAGUCACACCAUUACUGCAGAUGCUGCCACAUUUGAGACAUUUGUGUUAUGGGGUACAACUGCCUUCUAUUUUUUUUUCCUUAUUUAGAUUUCAUCAGGUCUGUACAGAGAAGAAAUGAGUAGUAGGGUAGUCUCUGAGAAGACAUAAUACCUUCCAGCCAAUAGUUCUAGAAUAGUUGGAAAUUAUUUUUCAAAACCCUGUUAUUCUCUUGGAAAAUGUCAACUGCUUCAUAGACAAUGAAUCCAAAAAAGACUGCUGGUGUUUCAUAGACAGUGCAGCCUAGACAUCCCCCUGAGAGCACUGCAGGCUGCUGUAGCCUAACCCAUGCUGUCUGGAAGCUCCCUAGAGAUCUACUAAUGUCAUCCUCUUAAGAACUAUUUGAACGUCGUGAGCGUUCAACAAUGUAGCCCACAUUCCUACAGAUGUGAGAAAGUGGAAGGACUCCUAUUUAUCCACGAGUGUAAAUACUCCAACAGAUUUAGUCACAGUCCUCCUUCGCCUAAAUUUGGUUCUUGACGUGUGUUCACAUUCUUCUCUCACACACAAACACACCCACCUAUUACAAUAUCUAUAAAUAAUCCCGCCUCUGCAGGCCUGGUUUGAAACUCAAAUUGGGGUUAGUCAGCAUUUACAGAGUGGUCUGCACUUUUCCCAAAGGCAAAUCACGGGAGCUUAAGCAUUUCGAGAUCCUCCCCUGUAGUGUGCCUGUACUUUUAAGCUCUCAGAGGCCAGGAGGGAUGUGGAGUAGAGGUCAGGUAAGAGCACAUGUCAGAAACUAAAUCCUCAAUGUCAGAAGCUCGUCUGAAACAGCAGCAUGCAUGUGACAGUAGCAGGCUCCUAGGACCUGAAAUGUCAGUGGGUCUGUCUUGCAGGAUCUUUAUAAAGGGUAAACAACAGCAGGCAGUAGAACUUGGGCUCUCUUGAAGGUGAGGCCAAGGUCAUGGCCCAGUGUGUGUGUGUGUGUGAAAAGAUUUAUUUAAUGUAAAAAGAUUACAUUUAAAGGAAAGAUUAUUUCCUUUAAAUCUGUUCUUUUGAACAGAUUACAUUUAAAAAAGAUUUAUUUAAAGGAAAGCAUUUUGUAGUAUUCCCACUCUUGAUCUGGGAACAAAAUGACUGGGUUAGGAGGGCUGGUGAUGGGGCCAUGAGGGAAGCAGAAGCAAAGUCAGCAAUAUGGCCCUGUCACAGAGAGUUACAUUUUUCCCAAAGGCUUUGGAUGGCUAGAGAUGACAGUUUGACAGCUGAGCUUGUGACAGGAAGACAAAGUAGCUAAAGAGGAUUUUCGUGCUCUCUUGACCAGCUGCACUCAGACUGCAUUUAAGGUUCCCUUGGUCACCCUCACAUCCUGGGCAACCCUCCAUGUAGCCUUCCCUUAACGCUAAGUCCCUUUGACAGGAUGACCAUUCACGUUAUCCUGAUCUGGUCAGACAGAGAAUACAGAGCCACAUGGCUUAAUUGGAAGGUCAGCUCCUUAACUACACUGCAAAUUACCUGAGGGUGUAGACUGCAUUUCACACCUCUUUUUUCUUGUCCAUUCUAGACACAGGCUUUCAAGACACUGUGGCUCUAGCAUUAACGCUCUAAGCCAAUCCAUGCAUGGUUCUGCUUCUUACAGACACGUGUGAUUCCUGAAUUCCCUGUGGCUUUUUUGAUACUGAGGCUUCGAGAGGAUCUCAGGAAGUAACGGAUCUUCUGAGAAGAGAAACCUACUAAUGCAAACACCAAAUCAUAGCCUCUUUUUAUUCCUCACUGGGACCACCCAGAGAAAAAACAACAGCAACAAAAACCCAAAGAACAUUUUGGUCCUGUGUGAUUUUUUUUUUUCUCCCUUGGUUGGGUCAGCCCUGGUAGAUUCAGCUUGGUCCUUGGUUUUCUACAGCCUCAGAUCCUGUAGGAGAAUGAGUCUCUUCCAAGGCCAGCUCAUGGCUCAGGAUAUCCCCAAAGUGGGGCCAACUUAAACUUCCUGUGCCUCAAUGUGUCUUGUACCCUUUUGGGAUCUCCAUCUCUGUGAGAUACACCAGACCUGAUCCAACUUCCAGAAGCAGGGUUUGAGUAAUGAUUCUCUAACUCCUGCUCCCAUAGUGAUUUUGUCUCUGUGUCAUACACACGGGGUAUGACUGUGGGACCACAGGAAAAGAGCUAUAGAAACCACCAAGGGGACAAAGGCAGGGUUGGAAAGGAAAAGAACAGGAUUCCAGGGAGUUCCUGUUGUGGCUCAGUGGAAAUGAAUCUGAAGAGGAUUCAUGAAGACAUAUGUUCGAUCCCUGGCCUCGACCAAUGGGUUAAGGAUCCGGCAUUGCCAUGAGCUGUGGUGUACAUCACAGACGUGGCUCAGAUCUGGUAUUACUGUGGCUGUGAUGUAGACCGGUGGCUAGAGCUCCAGUUCGACCCCUAGCCUGGGAACCUCCAUAUGCCACAAGUGUGGGCCUAAAAG
This 4854-nucleotide long non-coding RNA is filed under the name Sus scrofa (pig). RNAcentral's name for it is "lncRNA (ENSSSCG00015015746.1)". The record is from RNAcentral. Lineage: Eukaryota; Metazoa; Chordata; Mammalia; Artiodactyla; Suidae.